This 72-nucleotide transfer RNA is filed under the name Candidatus Caccoplasma merdipullorum. RNAcentral describes it as "tRNA-Met". It matches the Rfam family "tRNA". From Rfam's summary of the family: Transfer RNA (tRNA) molecules are approximately 80 nucleotides in length. Their secondary structure includes four short double-helical elements and three loops (D, anti-codon, and T loops). Lineage: Bacteria; Pseudomonadati; Bacteroidota; Bacteroidia; Bacteroidales; Bacteroidaceae. The record is from RNAcentral.
UGCGGGGUGGAGCAGUGGUAGCUCGUUGGGCUCAUAACCCAAAGGUCGUCGGUUCGAGUCCGGCCUCCGCUA